Molecule: ribosomal RNA, 465 nt
Filed under: uncultured bacterium
Lineage: Bacteria
Description: partial 16S ribosomal RNA
Rfam family: Bacterial small subunit ribosomal RNA
Source: RNAcentral
GACGAACGCUGGCGGCGUGCUUAACACAUGCAAGUCGAACGGAAAGGCCCCUUUGGGGGUCCUCGAGUGGCGCACGGGUGAGUAACACGUGAGUAACCUGCCCUUGACUUCGGGAUAACUUCAGGAAACUGGGGCUAAUACCGGAUAGGAAUCCUUGCUGCAUGGUGGGGGUUGGAAAGCUUCGGCGGUUUUGGACGGACUCGCGGCUUAUCAGCUUGUUGGUGGGGUAGUGGCUUACCAAGGCUUUGACGGGUAGCCGGCCUGAGAGGGCGACCGGCCACAUUGGGACUGAGAUACGGCCCAGACUCCUACGGGAGGCAGCAGUGGGGAAUAUUGCACAAUGGGCGGAAGCCUGAUGCAGCAACGCCGCGUGCGGGAUGACGGCCUUCGGGUUGUAAACCGCUUUCAGCAGGGGCGAAGCUUGUGGUGACGGUACCUGCAGAAGAAGCACCGGCUAACUACGUG